CGGGGGGGGCAAGCGUUGUUCGGAAUUACUGGGCGUAAAGGGUGCGUAGGCGGCUUUCUAAGUUGGAUGUGAAAACUAUGGGCUCAACCCAUAGCCUGCAUCCAAAACUGGAGAGCUUGGGUUCUGGAGGGGAAAGCGGAAUUCCUGGUGUAGCGGUGAAAUGCGUAGAUAUCAGGAGGAACACCGGUGGCGAAGGCGGCUUUCUGGACAGACACCGACGCUGAGGCACGAAAGCUAGGGGAGCAAACAGGAUUAGAUACCCUGGUAGUCCUAGCCCUAAACGAUGGAUACUUGCUGUGAGGGGGAUUGAAACCCUUUGUGGCGAAGCUAACGCAUUAAGUAUCCCGCCUGGGGAGUACGGUCGCAAGGCUG
This 372-nucleotide ribosomal RNA is filed under the name uncultured organism. RNAcentral's name for it is "bacterial SSU rRNA". It matches the Rfam family "Bacterial small subunit ribosomal RNA", at positions 526 to 896 of the family's 1533-position model. The record is from RNAcentral.